UACGUAGGGUGCAAGCGUUAAUCGGAAUUACUGGGCGUAAAGCGUGCGCAGGCGGUUAUGUAAGACAGGUGUGAAAUCCCCGGGCUUAACCUGGGAACUGCAUUGGUGACUGCAUCGCUCGAGUAUGGCAGAGGGGGGGUAGAAUUCCACGUGUAGCAGUGAAAUGCGUAGAGAUGUGGAGGAAUACCGAUGGCGAAGGCAGCCCCCUGGGUCAAUACUGACGCUCAUGCACGAAAGCGUGGGGAGCAAACAGG
RNAcentral lists this ribosomal RNA (254 nucleotides) under uncultured bacterium. RNAcentral describes it as "partial 16S ribosomal RNA". It matches the Rfam family "Bacterial small subunit ribosomal RNA", at positions 524 to 776 of the family's 1533-position model. The record is from RNAcentral.